Molecule: long non-coding RNA, 1460 nt
Organism: Ficedula albicollis (Collared flycatcher)
Lineage: Eukaryota; Metazoa; Chordata; Aves; Passeriformes; Muscicapidae
Exons: 3
Source: RefSeq, a predicted model, not a curated record
AAAGGGAUGGAAAAGGAAAAGAGAAAGAAAAAGAAAAGAGAAGGAAAAGAGAUGGAACAGAGGCGGCCGCCAGGGGGCGCCAAGGGCAGCGCGCCUCACGCAUGCGCAGAGCCCGCCCCGGAGGAGCUGCACUGCCCGACCGGCAACACCGCGGGCACCGGGAGCACCGGGAGCACCGCGAGUACCGGGAGCACCGCGAGUAUCGGGAGCACCGAAACUACCGGAACGCCGGUGCCAGCCCCAGCAACCCGGAAGCAGCGCCGCUUCAGCCGCUGCAUUGCGCAGGCGCGGGGACAGAACCCGCCAAUGGCAGCCGGCGGCGCGGCCGUGACGUCACAGGGGCUGUGAGGGAGCCCCGCUGGGGAAGAGGCGCUGAGGGAGCCGGGAGCGGGUUUGGGGAGCGGUGCCAGCUUUGUCUAUCAGCAGAUGCACAGCUUGUUUGUAAAGAAAAUUCAACACUGCUCUCACCUCCUUUCCCCUUCACUGCCUGAUCUCCUGGAGUUUCUGUGGGACAGGACAUGAAACAGCAGAGAAGGGGAUGGCAGAGACUGGAGCAGCAGGGGAGUUCCCAUCACCCUGUGACAUCCACAUGUUCCCAGGGAAUGCCACCCUGGGGCAGUGGAAAGGGUAGAACUGGAUGAGCUUUAAGGUCCUUCCAGCCCAAACCAGUCUGGGAUUCUUUAAUUGAUGAUUUUGUGCUCAGCACUCAUCCCACCUCACCUCCUUCGCAGGAUUUUGCUGGUUUUUGGGGCAUUGGGUUUGAAUAACAUUUGUUGAUCCCCUGUAGUCAGGCCAAGGAGACAAAGGAAGGCCUGGCUUGUGACUUCUCCUGAUUUAAAAUUAAAAUCAAAAUCCAGAGCUCUAAAGGUGCCUCAUUUCCCUUGGCACGGAUAGGUGGCAAUGAUAACCCUUAAACACCUUCCAGCUCAUUUUGUGUCUCUCUGUUCCAUUAAAGAGGUGAAAACUUUCAGUGUGUGAAGAAAACCCUGCAGAGGAGGCAGGGAGAGCCUUGGAGGGAAGAGUUUGGGCAUUUGCUGAGCCCUGAGCACAACUUUGAUCAGGGGGGCAGCGAACCCCAGGCUGGUUUUUAGACACAUUCCACACAAAAUGUUUCUGGCAGCUCAGUUUGGGGUUUUUCUCCUUGGCAGUAACGAUUCUGUGGGGUCACUGAAGCCAAUUAAACAAUACCUGGGGAUGGAGCUAUUUUUAGUCUUAAAAAAAAAAUCAGGAUAUUUUUGGGAGUGAGCACAACUUCCUGCCUGCUUUCCUGUGCUGCUGCUAAAGAUGAUGGGAGUGCUGGUGCUUUUAUCUUUUUAUCUCUGUGCAAACAGCCCCAAAUCCCAAAUUCUCUCAAGGGAGGAGUGGAGCUCCACCUCUUUCAUCAUGAAAACAGGAAUUUGAGGUGCUCAGUCUGGGGUUGCAGUUGGCUCCUGGGUUGCCUCUGCACUUUUUACAGCUUU